UCCAGAUACUGUAGAUUCUUGAGUUCACCAAGUUCUGGUCCUAAUGUUCCAGAAAUAUUAGAAUUGCCCAAAUCCAGGCGAAUAACAUUAUUAUCUGAGUCACAGGUAACAUGAAACCAUGUACAAGGAUUUACAAGUGUAGGGUCCCAGCUUUGUAGAACAUUUUUUGGGUCAGAAAGUUUGGUUCUCAAAGAAUGCAAAGCAGUCCCUUCAGAAUUUGUGGAGAAGGCAGGAGGAAUACAAAGAAUGAUUUGGAAGUAGAAGAAGAAGAGAAAUGAGGAAGGAAAAGCCAUUGAAAAAAUGGAGAAAGAAUGGAAGUUUUAG
RNAcentral lists this unclassified non-coding RNA (324 nucleotides) under Hevea brasiliensis (rubber tree). The record is from RNAcentral. Lineage: Eukaryota; Viridiplantae; Streptophyta; Magnoliopsida; Malpighiales; Euphorbiaceae.